RNAcentral lists this ribosomal RNA (229 nucleotides) under uncultured bacterium. RNAcentral describes it as "partial 16S ribosomal RNA". It matches the Rfam family "Bacterial small subunit ribosomal RNA", at positions 104 to 334 of the family's 1533-position model. The record is from RNAcentral.
CGGGGUGAGUAAUGUAUGGGGAUCUGCCUGAUGGCGGGGGAUAACUACUGGGAACGGUAGCUAAUACCGCAUAAUGUCUGCGGACCAAAGCGGGGGACCUCCGGGCCUCGCGCCAUCAGAUGAACCCAUAUGGGAUUAGCUUGUAGGUAAGGUAACGGCUUACCUAGGCGACGAUCCCUAGCUGGUCUGAGAGGAUGAUCAGCCACACUGGGACUGAGACACGGCCCAG